Transfer RNA from Schizopora paradoxa, 90 nucleotides. It matches the Rfam family "tRNA". Rfam says of the family: Transfer RNA (tRNA) molecules are approximately 80 nucleotides in length. Their secondary structure includes four short double-helical elements and three loops (D, anti-codon, and T loops). The record is from Rfam. Lineage: Eukaryota; Fungi; Basidiomycota; Agaricomycetes; Hymenochaetales; Schizoporaceae.
GCCCGCGUAGCGCAAUGGUAGCGCGUAGCUUUCCUACGAACGCGGUGUUUCUCUAGGCUAAGGUUGCGGGUUCGAUCCCCGCCGUGGGUU